GAAAUGCGAUAAGUAAUGUGAAUUGCAGAAUUCAGUGAAUCAUCGAAUCUUUGAACGCACAUUGCGCCCCCUGGUAUUCCGGGGGGCAUGCCUGUUCGAGCGUCAUUUCACCACUCAAGCCUCGCUUGGUAUUGGGCGACGCGGUCCGCCGCGCGCCUCAAAUCGACCGGCUGGGUCUUUCGUCCCCUCAGCGUUGUGGAAACUAUUCGCUAAAGGGUGCCGCGGGAGGCCACGUCGUAAAACAACCCCAUUUCUAAGGUUGACCUCGGAUCAGGUAGGGAUACCCGCUGAACUUAAGC
This 299-nucleotide unclassified non-coding RNA is filed under the name plant metagenome. RNAcentral describes it as "partial contains 5.8S ribosomal RNA, internal transcribed spacer 2, and large subunit ribosomal RNA". The stretch from base 1 to 105 matches the Rfam family "5.8S ribosomal RNA", at positions 50 to 154 of the family's 154-position model. The record is from RNAcentral.